Molecule: ribosomal RNA, 462 nt
Filed under: uncultured bacterium
Lineage: Bacteria
Description: partial 16S ribosomal RNA
Rfam family: Bacterial small subunit ribosomal RNA
Source: RNAcentral
GGCGAACGCUGGCGGCGUGCUUAACACGUGCAAGUCGAACGGAAAGGCCCUUCGGGGUACUCGAGUGGCGAACGGGUGAGUAACACGUGGGUGAUCUGCCCUGCACUUUGGGAUAAGCCUGGGAAACUGGGUCUAAUACCGAAUAGGACCACGCGCUUCAUGGUGUGUGGUGGAAAGCUUUUGCGGUGUGGGAUGGGCCCGCGGCCUAUCAGCUUGUUGGUGGGGUAAUGGCCUACCAAGGCGACGACGGGUAGCCGGCCUGAGAGGGUGACCGGCCACACUGGGACUGAGAUACGGCCCAGACUCCUACGGGAGGCAGCAGUGGGGAAUAUUGCACAAUGGGCGCAAGCCUGAUGCAGCGACGCCGCGUGAGGGAUGACGGCCUUCGGGUUGUAAACCUCUUUCAAUAGGGACGAAGCGCAAGUGACGGUACCUAUAGAAGAAGCACCGGCCAACUACGUG